This is a long non-coding RNA of Corvus hawaiiensis (hawaiian crow), 1444 nucleotides long. RefSeq lists it as uncharacterized. Lineage: Eukaryota; Metazoa; Chordata; Aves; Passeriformes; Corvidae. The transcript has 3 exons. The record is from RefSeq and is a predicted model, not a curated record.
GGUUGCAGGCAGCACUUUGCAGUCUAAACCUCACACAGAUCUUGUUUUUCCAAACUUCUUAACAUUUAUGAGGAAUGGAUUCAGCUGCCCAAAGCAAGGAGUAUGUGGGAAUGAAUUAGGCAAAGCUUUCUAGUGCACAAGCGUGCAUGCUUUAUGUGUAGAGGCCUUCAGCUGGAAGAAGUCAUUUUUGUUUGUUUCUAUACUUAGAACCUCUCCUACUGCACCAGUUAAGAAGUGCUCCUGUCAGAGCAGUGUCAUGUUAGUGGCUGCAGUGUGGCAUGGGAGUGUGCCUUCAGCUCCAGUUCCAAUUCCUUAGCAGCACUAAUUGCAAACACAGUCUGUGUCAGUCCGCACAUCCGCAAAAAAAAAAAGAAAUUGAGUUACGUUUUGCAAUAAUUCUAAUGGAAAUGCUAAUAGGAUGAACAGCAAUAUAAGGCCAGUGGAUGACCCAGCAAUUUCAUCUGUGCUGGCAAUGGACAACCAUCUAAACCACGUUCGGGUAAUUCUUCCUCUCAUUAGCAGCACAAUAACUCAUACACACAAAUCCAUAGGCAUUUGCUAUAAUUUUUUAACAUGGCUGGAAAUAGAAGUAAGCACAUGCAGUAUGCAAGCAUUACAGCAUGUGUUGGCUGUAAAUCUGUCUGGAAGUGGCCUGAUUCUGUUCCUGGUUAAAGCAGUGGGAAUUUUGCCAUUGACUUCAAUGGAAGCAGGAUGGGAUUUUUUGGACUUAUUUUAAAGUGGAGCUUUGUUUCUUUGGAACAAAGUUUUCAGAUUCACAGCUACAUUUCAGUACUUGGCUUGAACUCAUGUUAAUUCACCUUUCAUGUGUUUAACAGAUGGGGCUUCGUUGCUGCUCACCUUCUGUUUGGCAUCAGCACUGUAACCAGUCUCCGCUGGGUGACAGCCACCUGUGGCUGUGCUGUGGGACUCAGCAGGGAGAAGGAGGGAGCUCACAUGGACAUCUCUGGGCACCUUUGGUUCAAAUGUGUUAGAGCACUUGGAAGAAAAAGCCACUGCUUUCAUGUUUUUCAGCAGGUGAAAAGUCAAACUGUUUCUUAGAGCACCUAGGAUUGAGGAAGUGCAUAGAUGUGAGGUCUGACUUGAGAUGUGCGCUUAUGUCAAAGGGAGGAUUAUGAAGACAAUCUUCAGCCUGAUACAUCCAGCAGAGCUGUCUUCAGCAAGAUCCUACUGCCACUAAGAACUUUUUAGGAAGAUUGUAAACUGUUUGAGGCAAGAACUGUCUCUGAGUCUGUGUUUGGACAGAAGAGAGGUCCCGGUCCUUGCACAGCCAGGUACCAUAAUAAAUAUAAGGCACAAUAAUUUAUUUUAAACUGAACAUCAAAGAAAAGAAAAGAUUAAAAGGGAAAGAAAACCUUUCACAGCUCGAGGCUUUCCCCCAUGACAAUGCUCCAGAAGAAUGUGCUAUCUGCUGGAGGGAGCUAAC